This 75-nucleotide transfer RNA is filed under the name Bacillota bacterium. RNAcentral's name for it is "Firmicutes bacterium (anaerobic digester metagenome) tRNA-Glu". It matches the Rfam family "tRNA". Rfam says of the family: Transfer RNA (tRNA) molecules are approximately 80 nucleotides in length. Their secondary structure includes four short double-helical elements and three loops (D, anti-codon, and T loops). Lineage: Bacteria; Bacillati; Bacillota. The record is from RNAcentral.
GGCCCCAUAGUGAAGCGGUUAACACACCAGCCUUUCACGCUGGAGACGGGGGUUCGAAUCCCCCUGGGGUCACCA